GAGAGCCACCCAGCCGCCGUCAUCGCCGAACCACCGAUCCGUUCGCAUCAGGUGACGACCGGAUCCGCCGUCGCCGUCGGCGGCAUCCGAACCCGGCGAGUUACGCAUACGCUGCUUCUUCUCCACGCUAUCCGCGCGUUUAUUUUCCUACUUCUGGUUCCUUGCCGCGAGAUUUAGAUUGCAUCUGCCGUAUUUGUUUUGUUCUCGGGAGCAUCCGUGAUGUUACAUCCACUUAACUCAUCCUUGCACUUUGAGUCUCGGCAGUGAAGAAAAACAUUGGGGAAUUUGUAGUCUGAGAUGCUCUCAUGUUCUUGCUUUUGUUUAGAUCUGUCUGCCUUUUUUUCCCCGUGGAUUUGCGUUGCUUCAAGUCGUGGAUCCCUGAUGUUAUUGUUUACUGCGUUAUCUUUCUCGAACUUCUAAGUAAUGAGGAAAGCAUUACCUACUGAGAUCCAAGGCACGCUUGACGUUUUGUUUUCUAUGAUCAACUUUUUUCCUCUCUGGGCAAUACUAGCUGUUUACUUCAUUGUUUCUUUUGAUUUUUUUGUUUCGUUUCUGAUAUUUCUUUGAAUUUUCUGUGCUUCGUCAUCUGGUCAUUGGGAGGAUCAGUCUGAUCGGUUUCCAGUGGACUCGUUCCCUUGAAGCAACAUUAACCUGUUGUAUCCUGAGCUACCUACUUUGUGCCCUAGGAUGUGUCUCUCCAAAGGGCGCCGUGGCUCUUACAUACAUAUCCUAAUUAUAAUUAAUAUGUCACUCUACUCUGCUUAUUUGAUUGAAUCGACUUACUGAUGAUUUGGCGAUUUGAUAUCUUUCUCUACUGUAGUUCUAUUUGGUUUUAUGUGUUUUUCUUCUUUUUAGUUUCUGUUUAAAGAUAGUGUUCACAAUUAUUCGGAUGGAAGUGAGGAUCCUUUCCCCAGCUGAUCGACAAUGAUUGUACUGUGCGCAAAUGUUAUCCUUUAUCAGAGGAUUCCAAGCCAGAAAUCUGAUCCAUCCACUUCAAAAAUAUCUCUUAUGUUUUCUUAACGGCCCUUUAUCUUUAUUAGCAUUUUCAUUGGCAUAUUUCGAAUGGAAAUUUCAGUGUCAAUUCAAAUUUGAUUAAUAUUGUGGUGUGCACAUGAUGAGAAACCAUAUGCAACUCACGACGGUCGUCUGAGACACUCUGUGUGUAAUGGUGCAUUCAUAUGUUAUCUGAUGCCUCUUCUGUUUCUCCAGUUUGUUGGUGAUUUAGGUUCUCCCGUGGCUUCAGUUUCUUUGUUUGAGGAGUUGAUUGCAUUUCUUUUUCAUUCAUACAACUUGUAAUGUGGCACCCGGUAGCAGUUGGAAGCAAGCAAAAGAGAUUUGUAGCUGCGCAGCCGUUAGCCUAGAAGAGAUGUGGCCCAGUCUUAGGUCGGCUUUGUUGUAGUUAUGAGGAUGAUGAUUUCAAAUUUGUCGCCCCAGUCUUAGGGUCCGCUUAGGUGGAUCUGUGCUGAUUGACAUACUACUUAAUCUGACCUGGCAAAUCUAAGUUUGAACAGUUGUUUGAUUUUCUUUACUUAAAUUCCUAGUGAUGGCAGUGACGAUUUGCAAAUAUUCAAGCUCAACAGACCAAAUCACAGGUUUUCUCUCAAGAGUUGAUUUGUAUGCCGAUUAUCCCGCUGAACUGAGCCAUCUGAUAUCCUUUAUUUUUAAUGUGCGGUUCAUUGUUCGUUUCCUUUUGGAGAGUGGUUGUGAUGAGGAGAACAAGCUCCCUCUUCUGAAAGCAUUGACGACAUUGCUGGCACAAUCGAACCAAUUAAAAAUUGCCUCCGCUGAGCAACUACAUCUCCAAUCUUUUUGGUUGUUAUUUUUGCUUUUCAAUUUAGAUGAUCUAUUUGUAUUGUGAGGAUUUAUUGAUGCAUAAUAACACUUGAUCUUGAGGGGUUGACAUGAGUUGGCUGUUAUGUCAUCUUCGCAACUGAAUCCAUUAGAGAUCAGUUUUUUAUUAUUUAUUUUCUUCUUGAUUUUGUCAGUGUCAUGAGAUGAAAACUUAUUCUAUCUUAGGACACCUUCUGACACAGUGCUGAUUUCCUGUGGAUGAGAAGGCUUUUAUAUUCUGAUGAUACGCUAUAUUUCUUGGGCACUAUCUUACUUUUGUGUUUUUGGCUAGUGUGCAGCCUUUUCUUUCACACUAGUGACCUGUAAUUUAAUUCAAGCCUAUGAUGAUUAGCUUUAUGUUGGAAUUACCGUCUGAUUCUGAAUGACGAUAUUUUUGCGGCUUUCUGAGGCAUAAAGCGGAGAGCUCAAUACUUUUUUUUAUUUAAUUGUAUUGUUAUUUUUUUUCAGCUUAAAUUAUCCCAAUGAAGAUUCUUAGGCCAGGAAGUGCCGUAUGACACAGUAAACAACAGCUGUUACUCACCACUGCAUGUGUCCUCCUUUGGCUAUAACCUUUGUGGUUUGGUCAGGGCUGGAAUAUCCAUUUGCACCUGGUUUGGUUCAUCUGUGUGCAUGAUUUUAAAUGGGUCUCUGAGGGAUUCUGUUGUAAUUGUUUAAUCUGUUCUGUGUGAUAGGAAACCUGAGUCUAUUUUGGUUGGUAUACACUCUCCAGAGCUGGUUAUUGUGGUUGAUAUACUUUUGUAGUGGCUGGUUGGUAUACACUCUCCAGAUCUGGUUAUUGUGGUUGAUAUAUUUUUGUAGUGUCUGACAAGUUCUAGUCAAUAUGAUUUGGUCAGUUUUGGGGAUAAGUUACGGUGAUGAUGAUAAAUUUAAGGUUGUUUCUCAAAACAUUCGCAGAUGCCGCCUAAGAGCUUUCGCCAAGCCAGGCUUGAGAGCUAAUGCUGCUAAUUCCUUCCUUGGAUGUCUGAGCCUUAUUAAUAUCCUUGCUUUGUUGUCUUCCGUUUGAUUGUCUUAUCUUGUUUUAUGUGGGCAGCGCUGUUUCAACGCUUGGCUGCUGUUCUUGCAUCCAAGUUUACAACGCUCCUGAGAUGUAUUCAGGUGGUGCUUAGAGCACAAAUCCGUCCAGAUGGAUCUUGGGUUACGCUCGCCCCCAAAUUCAAGUUUAAUCUCUGUUUUUGUUGCAUUAUGUUGUCUGUAAUUAUAGUGGAAUCUGAGAAUAUUUCUUCUGGUUUCAAUGUGUAUUAUUAUGUUGUUUCCUCUGUUUUCACUGAGAUUUUGUUUUUUGAUUCUUGAAAGAAUCUUAUGGAACAUAAAAUAUCGAUCUAAUCUUUAAUUUACUUUAGAUGUGAUUGUCCAGCACUGAUAUCUCCCAUAGAAUCAAAGUAUUGGCCUGUCAGAGUGUUGUUUUUUAUGUUUGAUGGAAACUUGCAUUUCCAUUUGCUAGUUAAACUCAGCUUAGACGCCAACCGCAUUUCAACAGCAUUUCAGGUAGAAAACUCUGGAGCACUGUUCUGUUCAGUUUUUGUGGACUGUAUCAGACAAUGUAUCGGACAACAGUACAACCUGUCUACUCCUUUUCUGUGAGUGGCGUUGCUCUGUUUUGAAGCAUUGGUUUCUAUAAAUCAGUCCAUAAAAUGUACUUCAUGUUGUUGAAAUAGAGAUGAUGUAAUGAUAUUUUUGCAGUUGCUGGUUUGGUUAUCUACGCUGAUAAAUUUCACUACUUGAAGUUCUUAUUUCACAAUCAUAACAGCUUGCAAUUUGUUUGUCUGCAAUAAGUUAUGUUCUGCCAUGAAAUAACAAGUAGUCAGGACCGGAAAUAGAACUAAAAUGGAUCAUUUAUGCUUGUCUUGUGAGCACAAUACUCUGAUCUGGGUUGUACUGAGAGCAUAUCAUUGAUGCUGUCCAUUUGUGAGCAUAUCUGUCAAUUGGAAAUCAGUGUAAUUUAGUGCAGGUGGCAAAGGAGAUCAAUUGAACUAUCAAACUGAACUGGCUAAACGUAUGAGAGAUCAAUGAAGGAAUUGUAGUGCAGGAGGAGAUUAAAUAAAUUAACUGAAGCAAACUGGUACAUAAAACUAAAUUAAAAGUCAAAGGAGAUCAACUAAACUUACUGGAUUGAACUAUGGCCCAAAAUAAACACUUGACAUAAUGGAAAUGUUCUAGAUGCUUGCUUCUUUAGGAUCACUCAAGUACAUCACCAAAACCCCGUAAGAACAUCAUCUAUGAUUGGUUCAUGUGAAUUAAGUAAAAAAGUAAGAUUUUUCACAUUACCAUAUCCUUGGUUUCUAAAGAAACUAUGAGAAAUAUUACCAGUUGAUUUCUAAAGUAUUACACGACUUCCCAUUGUCCCUAGAAACACAGUUAAACUGUCGCACAAAGGGCGCCCUUUUACCGUGCGAGGUGAAAAAAAAACUGAAGGAGAGAAAAAAAAGAGAGAAAUGAAUCGUCCUCCUUUCCCAUUCACCAUUCACAACCGCCUUGAUUCCUCCCCCUCCCUCAUGGCCACGGUGGCGCGAGCGCUCUGAUGCUGGUUCAAGCUGCUUGAGGCGGCUCUUACCCUUGUGCCGACGCAAUGGACAAGGUGCCCUCUCCAUCACUUCUGCGUGUGUGUUUAAUUUGGAGUUGGUCUUCUGUUCACAAAGAUCCCUCUAUUCGAUGUUGCAGGAGAACAUAUACCUUUGUUAGUGGAGCAGCCCCCCUAGCCCUUCUUCAGCCAUGGAGGAGCGAAUCCCCUUUCUUAUCCCCUUAUGUGAUGUGUGCCUCUGCUUGUAGAGGCGUGGAGAAUUUUUCAGUGUAUGUUGGCCAUUGAGGCAUGGCAAUUUCUAAAGUGUUAUCCUACUGGCAUGCCACAUCUUUUAGUACUCGGAGAGUUUUAUCUACCGUGAGGAUUUUUGCAUUAUUUAUAUAAUCUACACUUCCUAUAGUUAAUUCCUGACAAUCAGGUUGCUGUUAAACUUUUCUUCAUAUAAGAGAAAAGGUUGUUUCUACAUUUGCAUCCAAUCCAACAUUGAAUUAAAAAAAAUGUGCAUCUUAUUUGGUUAUUGGCCUUUCUAAAUUAAAAAAUGUGCAUAUUUAUGUAUUUAAGAAAAGGAUAUGCGCAUGGUACCGAACAUGAGAAAAACACUGUUGACCAUAUCUCGAAUCAAGUUAUUUGGUGUAUUUCAGGCCAAGCAUGUUUUUUUUGAGAAAACGCUGCAUUUCAUUAUAUUGAAAAGAGAGAUAGCUAAUUAGAGAACAAAACACUAUGGCGGCAAAUGAGAUUAUCGAGCUGUUCUACGAACUGAUUGUUACAUGGCUUCCGAUCAUUGCCAAGCAGAAGUAUGUAUCUUGCAACAUUUCCUUGCCUUCAGAAUUGACUGUACAGAAAACUAGGACCUAAACUUGUGCUACUGGCCAACCAUUUCUUCAGGGAAUGCCGAGCGGACCUGAAAGAAGGUAUCUGCAGUUUGAUAUUUGCAGCCCCAAGGUGCUCUGAAUUCCCUGAACUCAGUCGGAUGCGGGACCUUCUUGAAAAGAAGUAUGGGAAAGAUUUUGUUGCUGCUGCAGUUGAUCUGCGCACAAAUGCUGGUGUCAAUACUUUGUAAGGCUAAUUGAGGAAGUUGUCAGUCAUCUCUGGACUACACUAUCAAGUUCCAAAGCGAAGAUUUGUGCAAACAGUACAAGUGUGUCUAAGAUUAUGAGCAGUAUCAAUACUUCAACUUGACAUGAUUUAAGAUGCUAAUCCUAUUCUAGAUAAAUUUUCCAGUGGAAGCUCACAAGAAUCUAUUCUUUGUCAAUGGAAGGGAAUCAAGAAUUGUCCCCACCUACAAAUUUAUCAAACAUGAUAAGCAGUUAAGAACCCAAAGCAAGAACUACAUCAUACUCUGUGCAUCCAUUCAGAGCAGUCAGAAGCUUUGUCAAUGUAUAUCUUUGUAAUCUCAAAGAUCGGAUGAACACUGCUGCGUUGAAUCUCUGCAAGAGCAGCAACAACAUUUGCAACCACCAUAGCAUUAUUUUCAAAAAUUAAGUCUUUGAGGGCCUCUAGAAAUCCUCUGCCUCCAGUAGCUCAGCAUUUAUAUCAUGUACUAAACUCUCCAGUUUAGUUUUCGCGGAUAUAAGAUAAUAUGGUAUGUAAUCAAGAGAUUCAUUUUAAAUUUGGAUUGUUCACAUGUUUACUGAAAGCAUAUAUGCUCUAUUAUGUGGAGUCGAUUUUUCUCUUUUUAGCACCAUCUAUCUUGGAAUUAGAUUUGAUACUAUAAGAAUAUAAUGAUGACUAUUUCUUGAUGGGUACUUGCUGCAUGAUUUUUCCAGUGCAUGUCCAAGUCUACAUGUGAAAGGAUCUUGCUUGAUUCCGUUCUACUGGAGAUUAUGGAGUGUAAUUCUUCAGAUGCAGAAAUGUCAUAUUUUGCUGAGGGUUCCGAGAGUACAAUACAAGCCAAAAUCAAGACUUUGGAUUCUCAAACAUACAAUUUGCAUGUGAAUAAAUAUGUGCAGGAGGUACAAUGUAAGCAAGCAGGGCGGUCGCGAUCAUGCUGCCCGUCGGCCUUACCACUGGAGAUUCAGGCGAGAACCGGCGCCCCCACCAUGCCUGUUGCCUGUUGGUGACGCUCACGCAGGAAUCCAGAGGCAGCACCUUGGCCUUCUCCCUGUGAACACCACCUCUCCGACGAUGCAGCCGCCAUCCGAGGGUGGCGGGACCGAUGCCACCGUCCAUGCCAUGUUCUGGCUGAUCCCCCAAGGCUCCUCACCUACGUCCAAAGGGCAGCACACAACCAAUGGUACUGCUGCCAUGACGACACCCACCUCUGUGUUGAUUGAGCUUUUCGACCUGCCCGGAAUGGACAAGGUCAUUCGGGCAUCUGAUUUUGAUGUGCCAUUUGCUCUGUUUGAUAAGAAGUCAAGUGUAGCAACAUGAACAAUUGUGUUACAGAAACUGUGCUACCAAUUGUUUGUAAUAGAU
Long non-coding RNA from Triticum dicoccoides, 6784 nucleotides. RefSeq lists it as uncharacterized. The record is from RefSeq and is a predicted model, not a curated record. The transcript is spliced from 5 exons. Lineage: Eukaryota; Viridiplantae; Streptophyta; Magnoliopsida; Poales; Poaceae.